GAGUGGCCUACCGGGGACCCUCCCCCAGAGGGACCGGCCCGGGGCGGGGAGAUGAACGGCUUCAGCACGGAGGAGGACAGCCGCGAAGGGCCCCCCGCCGCCCCAGCUGCCGCCGCCCCGGGCUACGGCCAGAGCUGCUGCCUCAUCGAGGACGGCGAGCGCUGCGUCCGGCCCGCGGGCAACGCCUCCUUCAGCAAGAGGGUCCAGAAGAGCAUCUCGCAGAAGAAACUCAAGCUGGACAUCGACAAGAGCGUAAGGCACCUAUAUAUCUGUGAUUUUCACAAAAAUUUCAUCCAGAGUGUCCGAAAUAAAAGGAAGAGGAAGACAAGUGACGAUGGCGGAGAUUCUCCCGAGCACGACACUGACAUUCCUGAGUGCUCUCCACCUGCCUGAAGCAAGAACAGCUCUUUUAGAGGCAGGUUGAUCUGUUCCAGCUGCAGGUGAACACCCUACGACGUUAUAAACGACACUACAAGUUGCAGACCAGACCAGGCUUCAAUAAG
Molecule: small RNA, 503 nt
Filed under: Pan troglodytes (chimpanzee)
Lineage: Eukaryota; Metazoa; Chordata; Mammalia; Primates; Hominidae
Description: processed transcript
Source: RNAcentral